This 425-nucleotide ribosomal RNA is filed under the name uncultured bacterium. RNAcentral's name for it is "partial 16S ribosomal RNA". It matches the Rfam family "Bacterial small subunit ribosomal RNA", at positions 354 to 796 of the family's 1533-position model. The record is from RNAcentral.
GUGAGGAAUUUUCCGCAAUGGGCGAAAGCCUGACGCAGCCAUGCCGCGUGAAUGAUGAAGGUCUUAGGAUUGUAAAAUUCUUUCACCGGGGACGAUAAUGACGGUACCCGGAGAAGAAGCUCCGGCUAACUUCGUGCCAGCAGCCGCGGUAAUACGAAGGGGGCUAGCGUUGCUCGGAAUUACUGGGCGUAAAGGGCGCGUAGGCGGACAGCUUAGUCAGAGGUGAAAGCCCAGGGCUCAACCUUCGAAUUGCCUUUGAUACUGGCUGUCUUGAGUUUGGGAGAGGUGAGUGGAACUCCGAGUGUAGAGGUGAAAUUCGUAGAUAUUCGGAAGAACACCAGUGGCGAAGGCGACUCACUGGCCCAAUACUGACGCUGAGGCGCGAAAGCGUGGGGAGCAAACAGGAUUAGAUACCCGUGUAGUCC